UAUAAGAGGUCCUGCCUGCCCAGUGACCUAGUUCAACGGCCGCGGUAUCCUAACCGUGCGAAGGUAGCGUAAUCACUUGUUCUUUAAAUAAGGACUAGUAUGAAUGGCACCACGAGGGUUAUACUGUCUCCUCUUUCUAAUCAGUGAAACUAAUCUUCCCGUGAAGAAGCGGGAAUUAAUAUAUAAGACGAGAAGACCCUAUGGAGCUUUAAAUAUAUAACAAAUGCUUAUUUUUUACUCUCAUCCAGAUGACUGACUAUUAUUUUAGCAUUUUGACCUAUAAAUUUUAGGUUGGGGUGACCAUGGAGCAAAAAUUAACCUCCAUAUUGGAAAAACCUUAUUUUUAAGCAAAAAGUUACCACUUUAAGCAUCAACACACUGACAUUAAUUGACCCAAUAGUUUGAUCAAUGAACCAAGUUACCCUAGGGAUAACAGCGCAAUCUACUUCAAGAGCUCUUAUCGACAAGUAGGCUUACGACCUCGAUGUUGGAUCAGGGUAUCCUAGUGGUGUAGCCGCUACUAAAGGUUCGUUUGUUCAACGAUUAAAACCCU
This 553-nucleotide ribosomal RNA is filed under the name Crossodactylus caramaschii. RNAcentral describes it as "partial large subunit ribosomal RNA". It matches the Rfam family "Bacterial large subunit ribosomal RNA", at positions 1844 to 2597 of the family's 2925-position model. Lineage: Eukaryota; Metazoa; Chordata; Amphibia; Anura; Hylodidae. The record is from RNAcentral.